CUUUUCUGGGAGUGUCCUAGGCUGUUUCGCGCUGAUGGAUUACACCCCAGCAGAAUCGGAGCGGAGCUGCUCUCUGACAACAUCUCCAGGACACUUCGCUCCAUGUGACUAGAUUUACACAAGAUCCAGUCUGGAUCCAGAACACCUGAGAAGAGAUGAUGCUGACCCUCAGAGGACCUCAGAUGAUGCUAACCCUGAAUCAACAAACAGAACUAACAAUUAUUGCUACAUGUGUGACUGCAUCAUAUAAUAAUUAUUAAUUAAUAAUAUUAAUAAUGUUCAUCGUCUAGCUGA
Long non-coding RNA from Carassius carassius (crucian carp), 294 nucleotides. RefSeq lists it as uncharacterized. The transcript has 2 exons. NCBI's taxonomy places the organism in Eukaryota, Metazoa, Chordata, Actinopteri, Cypriniformes, Cyprinidae. The record is from RefSeq and is a predicted model, not a curated record.